RNAcentral lists this ribosomal RNA (222 nucleotides) under uncultured bacterium. RNAcentral's name for it is "partial 16S ribosomal RNA". It matches the Rfam family "Bacterial small subunit ribosomal RNA", at positions 15 to 235 of the family's 1533-position model. The record is from RNAcentral.
GAUCAUGGCUCAGGAUGAACGCUAGCUACAGGCUUAACACAUGCAAGUCGAGGGGCAGCAUGGUCUUAGCUUGCUAAGGCCGAUGGCGACCGGCGCACGGGUGAGUAACGCGUAUCCAACCUGCCUUACACUCUUGGACAGCCUUCUGAAAGGGAGAUUAAUACAAGAUGUUAUCAUGAGUAAGCAUUUUCGCAUGAUAAGUUACGUGUAGAUGGGAGUGCG